Molecule: unclassified non-coding RNA, 339 nt
Filed under: soil metagenome
Description: partial contains 5.8S ribosomal RNA, internal transcribed spacer 2, and large subunit ribosomal RNA
Rfam family: 5.8S ribosomal RNA (bases 1-120)
Source: RNAcentral
GAUGAAGAACGUAGCGAAAUGCGAUACGUAGUGUGAAUUGCAGAAUUCAGUGAAUCAUCGAAUCUUUGAACGCACAUUGCACCUCUCGGUAUUCCGGGAGGUAUGCCUGUUCGAGCGUCAUUUGUACCCUCAAGCUCUGCUUGGUGUUGGGUGUUUAUUCCGCCUCUGUGUGUGAACUCGCCUCAAAACAAUUGGCAGCCGGCGUACUUGUUUCGGAGCGCAGCACAUUUUGCGAUCCAGGCCAACGUACAGCGGCAUCCAAGAAGCCUUAUUUAACGCUCUUGACCUCGGAUCAGGUAGGGAUACCCGCUGAACUUAAGCAUAUCAAUAAGCGGAGGA